RNAcentral lists this ribosomal RNA (255 nucleotides) under uncultured bacterium. RNAcentral's name for it is "partial 16S ribosomal RNA". It matches the Rfam family "Bacterial small subunit ribosomal RNA", at positions 524 to 774 of the family's 1533-position model. The record is from RNAcentral.
UACGUAGGGCGCAAGCGUUGUCCGGAAUUAUUGGGCGUAAAGAGCUCGUAGGCGGUUUGUCGCGUCUGCUGUGAAAGCCCGGGGCUCAACCCCGGGUCUGCAGUGGGUACGGGCAGACUAGAGUGCGUAGGGGAGACUGGAAUUCCGUGGGUGUAGCGGUGAAAUGCGCAGUAUAAUCAGGAGGAACCACCGAUGGCGAAAGGCAGGUCUCUGGGCUGUUACUGACGCUGAGGACGAAAGCAUGGGGAGCAACAG